UACGGAGGGGGCUAGCGUUGUUCGGAAUUACUGGGCGUAAAGCGCGCGUAGGCGGCUUUGUAAGUUAGAGGUGAAAUCCCAGGGCUCAACCUUGGAACUGCCUUUGAAACUGCGGGUCUUGAGUUCGAGAGAGGUGAGUGGAAUUCCGAGUGUAGAGGUGAAAUUCGUAGAUAUUCGGAGGAACACCAGUGGCGAAGGCGGCUCACUGGCUCGAUACUGACGCUGAGGUGCGAAAGCGUGGGGAGCAAACAGG
RNAcentral lists this ribosomal RNA (253 nucleotides) under uncultured bacterium. Its description in RNAcentral is "partial 16S ribosomal RNA". It matches the Rfam family "Bacterial small subunit ribosomal RNA", at positions 524 to 776 of the family's 1533-position model. The record is from RNAcentral.